Long non-coding RNA from Arachis duranensis, 1301 nucleotides. RefSeq lists it as uncharacterized. The record is from RefSeq and is a predicted model, not a curated record. The transcript is spliced from 5 exons. NCBI's taxonomy places the organism in Eukaryota, Viridiplantae, Streptophyta, Magnoliopsida, Fabales, Fabaceae.
AGAGGGAGUUAGUGUGAGAAAGAUACUCAUAGGAACGGAUAUCUCAUCGCCGAAACCCUAAGUUAACUGUCGCCGUCGCCGUCUUAGGUCAUCUCCACCCUCCGAAUCGGUGCCUCCGCCUCCCCUGACAUCUUCCUCUACCUCCUCCCCUCCCUCUUCUCCAAUCCCCACGACCUCCACAUCGACGAGCGCCUCUCCAUUCCCCUUCCCCUCUCACUUCCCGUUUACGCCGGAAGGCGCUCUCUUAAGGUGCAUUGCGUUGCUGACAACAUCUCCUCCACCAAGACUAAUCCCGAUUCACUCUGCUUAUCCAAUGCCGACUUGGCCGCUCUCGGCGAAGGCAUUCCUAGGCUGGAGCGCUUGAGAUUGAUCUGGUGCUCUAACAUCUCGAGCGACAGUUUGAAAUCCCUUGCUUACAAAUGCACCUUCUUAAAAUCGUUGGACUUGCAGGGUUGUUUUUUUGGAGAUCAAGGUCUGGCUGCCAUUGGACAGUGUUGCAAGCAACUUGAAGACUUGAAUCUUCGAUUUUGCGAAGGCUUGAAGUGGUUUCACUGAAUUUGUAUUGGGUGUGGGAAAAUCCAUGAGUUACUGAUAAGAGUGAUGCAAACAACUAUACCCAAGAAGAACUUCUGCUGAUGAAAACACAGGAUAUAGGAUAUAUUCUUCAAAAACUUUAGAUUUCAUCUUGCAGUACUUUUUAUAUUGUAAAAAAUUGAUUAGUUAUUCUAUCAGCACUGAUUUAAGUGAUUCACGCAUUUCACUUUAGAUUUCAUCUUGCAGUACUUUUUAUAUUUUACAAAUAUUAGUGUACUAAUCUUUAUGAAAUCACUUAAUUAACUCAACCAACAAACAUGAUGGUAAAGUAAUAUAUUACAUAAAAUGCUAAUGUCUCAAAGGACAUAUAUAUGUUGCUUUUCUAGGAACAAACAGCAUUGGCAAUGCUAUUUUUUCUAAAGACUACUCUUCCAGACACCUUAACAUUGUACAAGAAUGCAGAUGUUAUAACACACAAAUUUGUCAAUACUUCAGGUAUUGUGAGAGUUAUCUUCCAAUCUUACUAGAAGAAUGUCAGGUCAAUAAUUCUGAAAUUAAAGAGGAAGCAACACGUGGAAUUCGAAUGUGCAGAAUUUGGAACACCUCAUUUGAAGCCUCUUGUCAAUAGUACCCUGUUUGUCCCAUAAUAAUGAAUGCGUUUUCUAAACUCAGUUGUUGAAGCAUUUCGUAAUGCAAAGAAUGUAAAAAAGUUUUAGUUCUACAUAAGGACUUUCUAAUUUCUACUCUUGGUUCUAUUAUUAUAUAUU